This 443-nucleotide ribosomal RNA is filed under the name uncultured bacterium. RNAcentral describes it as "partial 16S ribosomal RNA". It matches the Rfam family "Bacterial small subunit ribosomal RNA", at positions 338 to 795 of the family's 1533-position model. The record is from RNAcentral.
CCUACGGGUGGCAGCAGUGGGGAAUAUUGGACAAUGGUGGGAACCCUGAUCCAGCGACGCCGCGUGAGUGAAGAAGUAUUUCGGUAUGUAAAGCUCUAUCAGCCGGGAAGCAAGAACUGACGGUACCUGACUAAGAAGCCUCGGCUAACUACGGGCCAGCAGCCGCGGUAAUACGUAGGGGGCAAGCGUUAUCCGUAUUUACUGGGUGUAAGGGGAGCGUAGACGGUUACGCAAGUCAGGCGUGAAAGGCGGGGGCCCAACCCCCGGACUGCUUUGGAAACUGGAUAACUGGAGUGCAGGAGAGGUAAGUGGAAUGCCCAGUGUAGCGGUGAAAUGCGUAGAUAUUGGGCGGAACACCAGUGGCGAAGGCGGCUUACUGGCCUGUAACUGACGUUGAGGCUCGAAAGCGUGGGGAGCGAACAGGAUUAGAUACCCCUGUAGUC